CAAUCUUAGCUCUCGCCAUCGUCUAAAAUUGUCAAUGCGGUUCCUUCAAACCCUUUCUCAAUCAAAAUUCCAAAAUACUUAAUUCCUAUCUUAACCUUUUGCAAAUAAAGAUGGAAAUGGAACAUGGUGUAUACCAUGCACUCCUGAGGCUAGGAUUCGAGAUGUACAUCUCGCCAAUCCUAGUUCUCGCCAUCACUCAAAGCACAUCCAACCAAUCAAACUCUUUUUCCUC
RNAcentral lists this long non-coding RNA (232 nucleotides) under Lathyrus oleraceus (garden pea). RNAcentral describes it as "Pisum sativum (pea) long non-coding RNA (PSAT_LNC014978)". The record is from RNAcentral. Lineage: Eukaryota; Viridiplantae; Streptophyta; Magnoliopsida; Fabales; Fabaceae.